This 2046-nucleotide long non-coding RNA is filed under the name Pelobates cultripes (western spadefoot toad). Lineage: Eukaryota; Metazoa; Chordata; Amphibia; Anura; Pelobatidae. The record is from RNAcentral.
GCACGAAACUACCGAAUAGCGCUCAGAUCCUAUUCACACAGUUCAAUUGCCAUGGAGCCGAAGUCUUUAACUACACGAAUGGGCUCCAUGGCAUAGCUAUCUGGGUUAACACAUUCACAUAAAGUCUGGUCCAUAGUCCAAAGGCAAGAGGCGGGCAAGCAGCCCCCUCCAAGGACAUGUGGCGAGGCCGGUUUCGCCACAGAUGGCAUGGCAGACUCAUCCGAUCAACACUGUCGGCACGAAUCUGUGCUGCAUUAGCCAAAGCCAUUAGCUUUGUAGACCCAUGGCACAUCCAGCACCCGACAGACAUUGAUUAUACCUGUCAUACAGCAGCACAGAUCAGUUACUCCCGAAUUGACCGCUUCCUUAUUCCCGCCACCUCAUUGCCCACAAUCGAAGAGUCCAGCAUUGGACUCCUCUUAGGGUCGGACCAUGCUCCAAUUACCCUGAGCAUAAGAGAAAACUUCCCCAAUAUAAUUAAUUGGAAGCUCAAUGAAUCCCUUCUCACAGACCCCUCCAUAGUCUCCCAAAUCUCUACAGACUUACAACACUAUUCCCGUGAAAACUAAAUUUUUGACUCCCCGAUUGACCAGAUCUGGUUAGCGCAUAAAGCAUUAAUUCGAGGCAGCUUUAUCAAGCAUGCCAGCCACGCCAAGAAAUUAAGACUUUCCACAUAAAGCUUGCUCAUAGCGGAGAUUACUAAGCUAACACAUUCUAAUAAACACGAGCCUAACUCAACCACGUACACUAAACUGCUCCAUCUCCAGGCUCAACUGAAAAAUAGGGAGCUAGCCAAAACAACAUAUUUACUCCGCAAGUCUAAAUACAAUUUCUUUGCCAAUGGCAACAGGGCAGGCGCCAAAUUGGCAUCACAACUAAAGCACAGGUCUGUCGCCUACAGGAUUGCCUUCCUAGAAAAUGGCAAAGGAAAAAAAAGUUAGACCCACAUGCUAUUGUUAACCAAUUAGCCGAAUAUUAUGGUGAUCUGUACAACCUGAAAAAUGAUCCACAGACAGUCCUUCCCACCCAAACCGAAAUUGACGAUUUCUUAACAUACCUCGACUUUCCCUGAUUGACAGAGGGAGACCUUGACCUUCUGCAAAAACCUUUUUCCCUAGACGAAAUCACAAGUCAUAUCCAACCUCCCAGCUCGCAAAGCUCCGGGCCCAGAUGGCCUCUCAAACAAGUAUUAUCAAACCUUUUCCUCUAUUGUAUCCCCACAUUUGUUAAUUCUGCUGAACCACUCCGACGUGAAAGGUGCUCUUCCGGAGGAAAUGCUCAUGGCACAUAUAUCGACCCUCCCUAAACCCAGUAAACCCCCAACCCAAUGCAAGAACUUUAGACCCAUCUCUCUAUUUAAUGGGGACGCCAAGAUUUACGCCAAACGUGUUAGCAACCGAUUUGCCCCUUUACUCCACAAGCUUGUACAUAACAACCAGUCGGACUUUAUCCUAGGCCGCCAGGGAUCAGACAAUACCAGAAAAAUACUUAACAUCUUGUCAACCCUGGAGACCCGGGGUACUAAGGGCCUUUUUAUCUCAUUAGAUGCAGAAAAGGCCUCAACCAGCUGAACUGGGCGUAUAUGACUACUGUACUGUCUAAAUUCAAUUUUCCAGAAAAAACAAUAUGAGGCAUCAUGGACUUCUAUGGCACCCCUACAGCCAGAGUCUCGUACUGGGGAUUCCUGUCUACGCCCUUUUCCAUCACUAAUGGAACCCGACAGGGUUGUCCCUUAUCACUACUACUGUACAUACUGUACCUUGAACCCCUAGCAUGCAAGAUCCGCAAACAUCCCUUAAUAUAAGGUAUCCCCAUUCAUGGCAGAGAAUAUAGUCUAGCAUUAUUUGCAGACGAUAUCUUUAUAGCACUUUUGGACCCCCUACAAUCCCUUCCUCCUCUCCUAGAUUUACUAUGACCGUUCGGUAAUUUUUCUCAUUAUCGGUUAAAUCAAGACAGGACCCAAGUCCUUCCUAUUAAUCUCCCUCCGCAACAGCUACUCAUUCGACUGGAGAUCAACCUACCUCACUUAGCUGGGGGUAAAAAUUG